This 593-nucleotide ribosomal RNA is filed under the name uncultured Amycolatopsis sp. Its description in RNAcentral is "bacterial SSU rRNA". It matches the Rfam family "Bacterial small subunit ribosomal RNA", at positions 334 to 918 of the family's 1533-position model. Lineage: Bacteria; Bacillati; Actinomycetota; Actinomycetes; Pseudonocardiales; Pseudonocardiaceae. The record is from RNAcentral.
GACUCCUACGGGAGGCAGCAGUGGGGAAUAUUGCACAAUGGGCGCAAGCCUGAUGCAGCCAUGCCGCGUGUAUGAAGAAGGCCUUCGGGUUGUAAAGUACUUUCAGCGGGGAGGAAGGGAGUAAAGUUAAUACCUUUGCUCACUGACGGUACCUGGAUAAGAAGCACCGGCUAACUACGUGCCAGCAGCCGCGGUAAUACGUAGGGUGCGAGCGUUGUCCGGAAUUAUUGGGCGUAAAGAGCUCGUAGGCGGUUUGUCACGUCGGCCGUGAAAACUGGAGGCUUAACCUCCAGCUUGCGGUCGAUACGGGCAGACUUGAGUUCGGUAGGGGAGACUGGAAUUCCUGGUGUAGCGGUGGAAUGCGCAGAUAUCAGGAGGAACACCGGUGGCGAAGGCGGGUCUCUGGGCCGAUACUGACGCUGAGGAGCGAAAGCGUGGGGAGCGAACAGGAUUAGAUACCCUGGUAGUCCACGCUGUAAACGUUGGGCGCUAGGUGUGGGCGACUUCCACGUUGUCCGUGCCGUAGCUAACGCAUUAAGCGCCCCGCCUGGGGAGUACGGCCGCAAGGCUAAAACUCAAAGGAAUUGACGGGG